This 785-nucleotide ribosomal RNA is filed under the name Haptophyta environmental samples. RNAcentral describes it as "eukaryotic LSU rRNA". It matches the Rfam family "Eukaryotic large subunit ribosomal RNA", at positions 133 to 1004 of the family's 3401-position model. Lineage: Eukaryota; Haptophyta. The record is from RNAcentral.
GCCCCCCGAAUUGUAGUCUAGAAAGGUGCCAUCGGCCGCGACCGUCGCUCAAAUCCCCUGGAACGGGGUAUCGGAGAAGGUGAGAAUCCUGUACCGUGGCGGCUCGCGGCCGCACGAUGCAUUCUUGCAGAGUCGGGUUGCUUGGGAUUGCAGCUUGAAGUGGGUGGUAAAUUCCAUCUAAAGCUAAAUAUUGGCUCAUGACCGAUAGCGAACAAGUACCGUGAGGGAAAGAUGCAAAGAACUUUGAAAAGAGAGUUAAAGAGUGCUUGAAAUCGGCAGGAGGAAACCCAUUUGCUGGCGGCUUCGCGUGUCUGAUUCAGCUCUUUUGAAGGAGUGCACUUUGGGCAUGCGGGUUCUCCGCGAUUACUACUGUGGCAUAACUCCCAAGUGGGCUUCGGUGAUCUUGGUUCUACCACGGUGGUGAUUCCGGCGGACGGAACGCCAGCAACUGACCCGUCUAGAAACACGGACCAAGGAGUCUGACUGUGAUGCGAGUACUUGAGUGGCAAGCCCGCGUGCGCAAUGAAAGUGAAGGGCGUGCCCCGCCAACCGACCUUGAUCUUCUGUGAAGGGUUUGAGUGUAGCAUCACUGUCGGGACCCGAAAGAUGGUGAACUAUGCCUGAGGAGGUUGAAGUCUGCCGAAAGGCAGAUGGAGGGCCGUAGCGAUACUGACGUGCAAAUCGUUCGUCGAACUUGGGUAUAGGGGCGAAAGACUAAUCGAACUAUCUAGUAGCUGGUUCCCUCCGAAGUUUCCCUCAGGAUAGCUUGGACGCAAGGGUUUUGU